ACUGGACACCUGCAUCUGCGGGCAAGACUGAAAACAGGUGAGACAGAGAGGAAGGGCCAAAGCCGUGUGGGGGAGGGGUGGUCUGAGGCACCCGCGUCCCCUCGGAUGGGGCUGGUUUGCAGGUCAGCGCAUGGACAUUUUCCCAGAAAGCGACACAGACUAUGAAGUUUGAUGGUCUGGAAAACGGAGACCAACCGCGCUGACUACCUGGAAGCACUGAGACUCCGGACAGCGCCUCUCAGGGUCCAGGAAAGGCACCGCGAUCUGCUUCAGCACCAGGGCUCCGGACAGCUCCUAAGGCUCCCAGGGGGCGACCUCAUUUCAGAACCAGGACACUGGACAGCUUCACUGCUACAGGGAAGCCCUUGUACCCAGAUGGGGGAACAGAGUGCUCUGAAGUGCCUGACGCUUUGGGAGACUUGCCCCUCGUGUAGUGGAUUUUUCAGUGAAUUAUUUUCCAGAUAAGCAGAUGAGAAGAAACCACCCACAGAAAUCCGUAAUUCCUAACAGGUUUGGAAAUACAAAUAUCUGACUCUGAACCCAGGACUCUUAACUGUCUCACUACACUUUCCUGGGAGAUCAAUGAGAAAAUCAUGUUUGAAGCCCUUCCUUGAUCAGGAUUCUAUGGAGACUUUUCAAUAAAAGUUCUGGGGAAUUUUUUACUCCCCUACCUCACCAUCAGUUUCAUGAA
This 691-nucleotide long non-coding RNA is filed under the name Sus scrofa (pig). Its description in RNAcentral is "lncRNA (ENSSSCG00015023754.1, ENSSSCG00035021590.1, ENSSSCG00055028951.1)". Lineage: Eukaryota; Metazoa; Chordata; Mammalia; Artiodactyla; Suidae. The record is from RNAcentral.